UACGGAGGGGGCAAGCGUUGUUCGGAAUUACUGGGCGUAAAGGGCGAGUAGGCGGCCCCGAAAGUCAGAUGUGAAAGCCCUCGGCUCAACCGGGGAACUGCAUCUGAAACUGCGAGGCUUGAGUCCGGGAGAGGGGGGCGGAAUUCCCAGUGUAGCGGUGAAAUGCGUAGAUAUUGGGAGGAACACCGGUGGCGAAGGCGGCCCCCUGGACCGGUACUGACGCUCAGGAGCGAAAGCUAGGGGAGCGAAUGGG
This 253-nucleotide ribosomal RNA is filed under the name uncultured bacterium. RNAcentral describes it as "partial 16S ribosomal RNA". It matches the Rfam family "Bacterial small subunit ribosomal RNA", at positions 524 to 776 of the family's 1533-position model. The record is from RNAcentral.